CUUAAAAUAUAAUUGUAGAUUCAUUAUUUACUAUUAUUUAAUUUAUGUAUUUAUUGGAAAAUAACUUUAUUCUUGCAUUAGCUUAGUUAUUUGCAAAAUAAUUGCAAAGAAACCUGUUAAUUGUAUCAUAAUCUAUCUGAUUGUUUUUUAGCCGACUCAAAAUCAUGCUGUUAAUUAGGGCCCCCUGUUGUACAUGUACUUAGGAAUCGGACACCUCCAGAAGAUGAAAGAUCUACUUUACAUCUUUUUCAACGAAAGUACAAUUACUUUGAGAAGUAGGAGAAGCUAAGCAACAGGACAGAAUUCAUUUGAGGCAUUGCUUUCUAGAUUAUAUAGUGGAGUCAUAGAUUGUCCUAUUGAUUUAUGUGCAUAUGAGGAGCAGUAGUCAAUGAAUAAUUUUGUGAUGAGAGCUGUACAUUGUAUUACAACAAAUGGACAGAGGAGUUGACUAUUGAUAGUGACUGAUAAUGGACUGGAGUAACCUAGGGUCCAAUGACUCCAUGCCUGACAGUCCAUGUGUACAUAAUCAGCUCCUCAGAUGUAAGUGGAAGGGAAGCUAUAUACAUUAUAUGUUUAAAUGAAAUUAACCACAGGAUUAGAUAUUGAGGAGAUCCUAUAGCUACAGUAUAUAUAAAUGUAACUGCAACUGUAUUACAAGAGUCUGAUGUCUGAUAAUGUAUUACAGGAUUUUAUCAUUCAAGCAACAUCUUAGAAGGAUAAGUGCAAAUGUAUGAAGGAAGCCUUGGGUACAAAUAGCAAUUCCAGCAAUUACAUGCAGGAGAGAACUCUUAAACAUUACUAACAGACAUGUAGUCAUUAUAUGGGAGUGGUGUAUUUAAGAAAUCUAAAACACAUGAAAUUAAAUAUUGUGUAUAUUAUUUCAACCACAAGUAC
Long non-coding RNA from Mytilus californianus (California mussel), 894 nucleotides. RefSeq lists it as uncharacterized. The transcript has 5 exons. Lineage: Eukaryota; Metazoa; Mollusca; Bivalvia; Mytilida; Mytilidae. The record is from RefSeq and is a predicted model, not a curated record.